Non-coding RNA from Vicugna pacos (alpaca), 1448 nucleotides. NCBI's taxonomy places the organism in Eukaryota, Metazoa, Chordata, Mammalia, Artiodactyla, Camelidae. The record is from RefSeq and is a predicted model, not a curated record.
UUAUGGAAGCGUCCUAGAGGCCUUAGUUUAACCGAGAGGGGCAGCAAUAUUUCAACCACUGCAAGUUGCCAUGAUGGACGUGUUAAAUGCACAGAAUGACAGUUCUCUAUCUUCUUGCCACUUGGACCCUCAAAUGUAUUCUGAACAUCAGCAGCGAGCUCCCCACCCCACGGGGGAAAGUCUCCAAUCAAAGAUCCUCUGAGGAGCAGGAGCGCCAGGAGAGGCUUUGGAGGGAGCCGCACAUAUUUUGAGGCAGUGCUUCAGAAUCCAGAAGAGCAGAUGAGGAAUGGAAAGGUCCAGUCUUGUCUCUGAUUGUGGCCUUAAAAGACCCUGGACCAUCCUCAGUAGAAUCAUGGUCCAAUAUCCAGUGCACAACAAGAAGCUGACUGCAAGCCAGGAGGAGGGCUCUUGCCAGGAACAGAAUCUGCUGAUACCUUGAGCUUGGACUUCCCAGCCUCAAGAACUAUGAGAAGCAAAUGACUGCUGUUUAAGACAGCCAGUCUGUGAUAUUUUGUCAUAGCAGCUCAAGCGAAUUAGGACAAUGUUCAAGUAAGCUAAAGGGUGCUCUGUUACCAGGAACUCCAGGGGAUCAGCUGUCUGUACAUCAGAGCUGCAUCAGACAUUAAAGAAGAAGCAUGUGAGACCAGCCUCUGUGCAGUCAAGUUCGUUUCAGGCCAAUAUAAAUUCAGUUCCUCUUUCCCCCCAUACUCUUCUAGCACUUUUAGAAUCUAAAAGACAUAUGUUGUCUGUGUGGACAGUGGAGAGCACCUCCAGAAUUUGGGGACAUGGUCAGAAGGUGUCAGGCACUGAAGGAAGAUGCUAAUAGAACUCCCACAAUAUAAUUGAGAUUAACCAUCUACAGAUGAAACCUGUCUUGGGGAGGUUUUGUACAUGCAUUGCUGUGGAUUUAAUGAUUUGCUACAGUAAGUUUAGAUAAUUCGAAGUUUAUUGGGAGAUUAAACUACAUAAAGUAAUGACAAAGUAUGUUGUGAUAAGGUCAUGCUACUUGAAGAGAAUUAAAUGGGUAGACAUGAAUGAUCUUGUACUGAGCCUAGAAAAUGAGAGUUGAAGAGUAAGAAUCACCCAAGAGUGUCAGCAGAAUGGUGGAGAAGGCAUUCUAGACUCUACUAGAGUCUAAGCCACACACCCCUCAGCACCUUUCCCCUGAUUCCUGCUUACCAGGCAAUUUUCACAUAGUUUGAUGCUCUAUUAGACACAUAUACAUUAAGGAUUGUUAUGUCUUCUUGGAGCAUUGACCCCUUGAUCAUUAUAUAAUGCCCUUCUUUAUCCCUGAUAACCUUUCUUGCUUUGAAGUCUGCUCUGAUUGAAGUUAAUAUAGCCACCCACUCUUUUUUUCUUUUCAGUAGUGUUAUGGUAUAUUUUUCUCUGCCCAUUUAUUUUUAAUCUAUAUGUGUCUUUAUAUUUAAAGUGGGUUUCUUCCAUAAGCA